Molecule: long non-coding RNA, 705 nt
Organism: Homo sapiens (human)
Lineage: Eukaryota; Metazoa; Chordata; Mammalia; Primates; Hominidae
Source: Ensembl
GGUCUUCGUAGAGGCGCGCGCGCUCGGGGGCCAGCGGCGUGUUCACGUCGAAGCGCGCGCUCAGCAGCGCCUCCAGCACCUCGUCGUGGUUGCGCUCGGCCGCCAGCCCUGCCACCUGCAAGAACAAGCUCCUGCACCAAUAUGAUUCCAGACCCUAAUCCAUCCAAUCCCUGCUGACAGGUCACAGCUGGUCUCCGGCAGUUCUCCACGAACCAAGGGAAAGUGGCAGAAAUGUGGGAACUUGAGCAUUGUCUCAGUUAUGUGGUGAAUCAUCUUACUGCGGCAGGACUCUGCCAAUCAGAAAGUGAAUGUGUAACGCCGGACAGGCUCUGGAGAUCAGCACGUUUUGGAUUCUCAGAGUAUAAUUGCUCAAGCGGCACCUCAUGAAGAGGAACAAAGGAAGAAUUUCAAGUGGCUUGCAAAGAUUGAUAAAAUACAGCAAAAGUGUUAUAUGUUGGAACUAAAAGAGAAGGAAUAUUUAAAAACGAGGGAGGCAGAAGUAAGGCCCAGAAUGCAAGUCUGUGUUUUCUGUUGGCCACAGAAGAGGCUCUAAGAUCCUGAUUCUCUACCCAGGCUGCACAGUAAAAUCUCCCGGGCAGCUCUUAGACACCUUGAAGCCUCAGCCACGGCCCAGACCAGCGGCAGCGCCAUCUCGUCAGGUGGGGCCCAGGCAUCAGGGUUUCUGGUGCAGCCAAGGUUGGACAC